This 254-nucleotide ribosomal RNA is filed under the name uncultured bacterium. RNAcentral describes it as "partial 16S ribosomal RNA". It matches the Rfam family "Bacterial small subunit ribosomal RNA", at positions 524 to 776 of the family's 1533-position model. The record is from RNAcentral.
UACGUAGGGCGCAAGCGUUGUCCGGAAUUAUUGGGCGUAAAGAGCUCGUAGGCGGUUUGGCAAGUCGGGUGUGAAAACUCCGGGCUCAACUCGGAGACGCCACUCGAUACUGCUAUGACUCGAGUCCGGUAGGGGAGUGCGGAAUUCCUGGUGUAGCGGUGAAAUGCGCAGAUAUCAGGAGGAACACCGGUGGCGAAGGCGGCACUCUGGGCCGGAACUGACGCUGAGGAGCGAAAGCGUGGGGAGCGAACAGG